AGCGAACGCUGGCGGCAGGCUUAACACAUGCAAGUCGAGCGGACCUUUCGGGGUCAGCGGCGGACGGGUGAGUAACGCGUGGGAACGUGCCUUCCGGUUCGGAAUAACCCGGGGAAACUAGGGCUAAUACCGGAUACGCCCUUAUGGGGAAAGGUUUACUGCCGGAAGAUCGGCCCGCGUCUGAUUAGCUAGUUGGUGGGGUAACGGCCUACCAAGGCGACGAUCAGUAGCUGGUCUGAGAGGAUGAUCAGCCACACUGGGACUGAGACACGGCCCAGACUCCUACGGGAGGCAGCAGUGGGGAAUAUUGGACAAUGGGCGCAAGCCUGAUCCAGCCAUGCCGCGUGAGUGAUGAAGGCCUUAGGGUUGUAAAGCUCUUUUAUCCGGGACGAUAAUGACGGUACCGGAGGAAUAAGCCCCGGCUAACUUCGUG
RNAcentral lists this ribosomal RNA (433 nucleotides) under uncultured bacterium. Its description in RNAcentral is "partial 16S ribosomal RNA". It matches the Rfam family "Bacterial small subunit ribosomal RNA", at positions 29 to 507 of the family's 1533-position model. The record is from RNAcentral.